AACCAGGCCACCAUUCCUCUCCG
RNAcentral lists this microRNA (23 nucleotides) under Human gammaherpesvirus 8. Its description in RNAcentral is "kshv-miR-K12-12-5p". Its record names the gene kshv-miR-K12-12-5p. The record is from miRBase by way of RNAcentral. Lineage: Duplodnaviria; Heunggongvirae; Peploviricota; Herviviricetes; Herpesvirales; Orthoherpesviridae.